CUACGCCUACGGGGCGCAGCAGUGAGGAAUAUUGGUCAAUGGGCGGUAGCCCGAACCAGCCAAGUAGCGUGAAGGAUGAAGGUUCUAUGGAUUGUAAACUUCUUUUAUAAAGGAAUAAAGUGAGGUACGUGUGCCUUUUUGUAUGUACUUUAUGAAUAAGGAUCGGCUAACUCCGUGCCAGCAGCCGCGGUAAUACGUAGGAUCCAAGCGUUAUCCGGAUUUAUUGGGUUUAAAGGGAGCGUAGAUGGGUUGUUAAGUCAGUUGUGAAAGUUUGCGGCUCAACCGUAAAAUUGCAAUUGAUACUG
Molecule: ribosomal RNA, 305 nt
Filed under: uncultured bacterium
Lineage: Bacteria
Description: bacterial SSU rRNA
Rfam family: Bacterial small subunit ribosomal RNA
Source: RNAcentral